GACGAACGCUGGCGGCGUGCUUAACACAUGCAAGUCGAACGGAAAGGCCCUGCUUUUGUGGGGUGCUCGAGUGGCGAACGGGUGAGUAACACGUGAGUAACCUGCCCUUGACUUUGGGAUAACUUCAGGAAACUGGGGCUAAUACCGGAUAGGAGCUCCUGCUGCAUGGUGGGGGUUGGAUAGUUUCGGCGGUUGGGGAUGGACUCGCGGCUUAUCAGCUUGUUGGUGGGGUAGUGGCUUACCAAGGCUUUGACGGGUAGCCGGCCUGCGAGGGUGACCGGCCACAUUGGGACUGAGAUACGGCCCAGACUCCUACGGGAGGCAGCAGUGGGGAAUAUUGCACAAUGGGCGGAAGCCUGAUGCAGCAACGCCGCGUGCGGGAUGACGGCCUUCGGGUUGUAAACCGCUUUCGCCUGUGACGAAGCGUGAGUGACGGUAAUGGGUAAAGAAGCACCGGCUAACUACGUG
This 468-nucleotide ribosomal RNA is filed under the name uncultured bacterium. Its description in RNAcentral is "partial 16S ribosomal RNA". It matches the Rfam family "Bacterial small subunit ribosomal RNA", at positions 28 to 507 of the family's 1533-position model. The record is from RNAcentral.